CCAAUAGCGUAUAUUAAAGUUGCUGCAGUUAAAAAGCUCGUAGUUGAAUUUCGGGAUCAAUAUCUCGGUCGUGCCUCGGUACGUACUGGCUUAUUGGUUUCUCCCUUCUGACGAACCAUGAUGUCAUUUAUUUGGGGUUGUGGGGAAUCAGGACUGUUACUUUGAAAAAAUUAGAGUGUUUAAAGCAGGCUCACGCUUGAAUACAUUAGCAUGGAAUAAUGAAAUAGGACGUUUGAUUCUAUUUUGUUGGUUUCUAGGAUCGACGUAAUGAUUAAUAGGGAUAGUUGGGGGCAUUAGUAUUCAAUUGUCAGAGGUGAAAUUCUUGGAUUUAUUGAAGACUAACUACUGCGAAAGCAUUUGCCAAGGAUGUUUUCAUUAAUCAAGAACGAAAGUUAGGGGAUCGAAGACGAUCAGAUACCGUCGUAGUCUUAACCAUAAACUAUGCCGACUAGGGAUCGGACGAUGUUAAUUUUUUAAUGACUCAUUCGGCGCCUUACG
This 498-nucleotide ribosomal RNA is filed under the name uncultured Glomeromycotina. Its description in RNAcentral is "partial small subunit ribosomal RNA". It matches the Rfam family "Eukaryotic small subunit ribosomal RNA", at positions 591 to 1092 of the family's 1831-position model. Lineage: Eukaryota; Fungi; Glomeromycota. The record is from RNAcentral.